Molecule: unclassified non-coding RNA, 1098 nt
Filed under: Hevea brasiliensis (rubber tree)
Lineage: Eukaryota; Viridiplantae; Streptophyta; Magnoliopsida; Malpighiales; Euphorbiaceae
Source: RNAcentral
UUUAAGAACCAAAAGGGUUUUGCACCUGUAACAUUAGUUGUCAAGGGGCAAAAUGUGCCACCAAGUGAAACUGUGAAUGAGGAAAAGGAUGAGUUGCCUACAAUUCCAGACAGGGAACAGUAUAACAAAGCGGAUUCCCCGAAGAUUACAGUGAUGGUAAGUUUUUUGUUAUCAAGUCUUAUAGCGAGGAUGAUGUCCAUAAGAGCAUAAAGUAUAAUGUGUGGCCCAACCAUCUCCGCAAGGCCAACAAGCUUGAUGCAGCGUAUCAGGAGAAUGGAUGCCUUGUGUUUCUCUUCUUCUUGGUAAAUACUAGUGGUCAAUUCAUUGGCCUUGUGGAGAUGGUGGGACCAGUUGAUUUUAACAAGAAUAUGGAAUACUGGCAAUAAACAAGUGGACUGGCUGUUUCCCAUUAAAGUGGCACAAUGUCAAGGAUAUACCCGAUAGUUUGUUGAAGCACAUUAGCCUUGAGAACAAUGAGAACAAACCUGAAACUAGCAGCAGGGACACGCAAGAGGGGCUUAAAAUGAUCAAAAUAUUCAAAGAUCAUUCCAGCAAAACAUUUAUUUUGGAUGAUUUUGGAUUUUAUGAGAAGCGGCAGAAGAUAAUUCAGGAGAAGGCUUAGCAACAGCAGAGUUCCAGAAAUAGGUGCUGGAUGGAAAGCUUGAAGAUGGGAAGAAAGAAGUGGCAAAUGGAUCAAAUAAUCGGAGAUUAUGAGUGAUUUGACCAGGGAACCCACUUCAACUGCUCUGUCCAAUGGGGACACAAAACAUUCAAAGAAUGGGUCAGUUGCAAAAAUUGUAGAUGCCUUGAAGGCAAGUAAGCCGCAUGCCUUAGAGGAGCGGAAUGUAGCAAAUGGGAUUGCCAAUGGUUGCUAAAUAUUACCAUGCUCUAGUGGCCUGUAAUCUUGUAGGGAUUAGUUUGAGGUUUAUCGAAAGUUUUGUUGCAUGAGAGUAGAAUCUGAUCUAAUUGCUGUCGAUGCUCUUUGAGCCUUGCGAUGCUGUUAUGGAGCUGCCUUGUUGCUUUGAAGACCUCAACAUUAUUUGGAGGGAUGGAAAAUAGUCUUGAGAUUCUUCAAAGCAACAAGGCAGCUCCAUAACA